RNAcentral lists this ribosomal RNA (117 nucleotides) under Sinocyclocheilus anshuiensis. The record is from RNAcentral. Lineage: Eukaryota; Metazoa; Chordata; Actinopteri; Cypriniformes; Cyprinidae.
UGUUGGAGCCAUAUCACCUUGCAGCCCAAGACUAGUUGCCCACUGAAGCUAAGCAGGGCUGAGCCUGGUCAGUACCUGGAUGGGAGACCUCCUGGGAAAACUAGGUUGCUGCUGGAA